RNAcentral lists this ribosomal RNA (389 nucleotides) under Haptolina sp. Its description in RNAcentral is "partial small subunit ribosomal RNA". It matches the Rfam family "Eukaryotic small subunit ribosomal RNA", at positions 582 to 975 of the family's 1831-position model. The record is from RNAcentral. Lineage: Eukaryota; Haptophyta; Prymnesiales; Prymnesiaceae.
AUUCCAGCUCCAAUAGCGUAUAUUAAAGUUGUUGCAGUUAAAACGCUCGUAGUCGGAUUUCGGGGCCUGCCUGCCGGUCUGCCGAUGGGUAUGCACUGGCAGGCGCGUCCUUCCUUCCGGAGACUGUCCCUACUCUUAACUGAGCGGGGUCGGGAGACGGAUCGUUUACUUUGAAAAAAUCAGAGUGUUUCAAGCAGGCAGCUCGCUCUUGCAUGGAUUAGCAUGGGAUAAUGAAAUAGGACUUUGGUGCUAUUUUGUUGGUUUCGAACACCGAAGUAAUGAUUAACAGGGUCAGUUGGGGGCAUUAGUACUUUGCUGUCAGAGGUGAAAUUCUCGGAUUUGCAAAAGACUAACUUAUGCGAAAGCAUUUGCCAAGGAUGUUUUCAUUG